UGGCACUGUCCGGGAGUGCCACGUCUAUGG
RNAcentral lists this small RNA (30 nucleotides) under Bombyx mori (domestic silkworm). Its description in RNAcentral is "ovarian small RNA-34743". Lineage: Eukaryota; Metazoa; Arthropoda; Insecta; Lepidoptera; Bombycidae. The record is from RNAcentral.